This 448-nucleotide ribosomal RNA is filed under the name uncultured bacterium. RNAcentral describes it as "SSU rRNA". It matches the Rfam family "Bacterial small subunit ribosomal RNA", at positions 26 to 518 of the family's 1533-position model. The record is from RNAcentral.
AGAACGAACGCUGGCGGCAUGCCUAACACAUGCAAGUCGAACGAGACCUUCGGGUCUAGUGGCGCACGGGUGCGUAACGCGUGGGAAUCUGCCCUUAGGUUCGGAAUAACAGUUAGAAAUGACUGCUAAUACCGGAUAAUGACGUAAGUCCAAAGAUUUAUCGCCUAGGGAUGAGCCCGCGUAAGAUUAGCUAGUUGGUGGGGUAAAGGCCUACCAAGGCAACGAUCUUUAGCUGGUCUGAGAGGAUGAUCAGCCACACUGGGACUGAGACACGGCCCAGACUCCUACGGGAGGCAGCAGUGGGGAAUAUUGGACAAUGGGCGAAAAGCCUGAUCCAGCAAUGCCGCGUGAGUGAUGAAGGCCUUAGGGUUGUAAAGCUCUUUUACCCGGGAUGAUAAUGACAGUACCGGGAGAAUAAAGCUCCGGCUAACUCCGUGCCAGCAGUCGC